GGGACGGAGACAAAUGACGGCCUUUGGGCUCGGAAUACCCACCUUUCUGGUAAUGCAGCCCAGCGGGUCCCAGCCUCGUUUUCCAGCCCUCACUCAAAAUGGAGUCGCUCUGGUUCGAACGCCUCUGACAAGUGUGUACCUACGUGUCAGGCCCGUCCUUCCUGCAGGCCUUUGUCUUGGUGUCACCCUGCCUGAGCUGGCCCCAACCACAGUAGCGACAGUGAUGCUGAUGUGUGACUGCUGCCCGGAGCCUGCUCACAUGACUGUGUGGAGAAAGUUCUUUCCCUGAGGACCAUCUGGAGUGGACGCGUGCACUACCCCUCUCUGAAUACACCCUCCCCACGAGGCCCUCUGGAGCAUCCUGUAGAGCCAGCUCUUACCCAGAGACCCUGAGCCCAGAGAAUGUGCUGGGUGGUGAGCCUGGGGACGAAUGCAGAGCCCUAGAUCUCC
RNAcentral lists this long non-coding RNA (450 nucleotides) under Pan troglodytes (chimpanzee). RNAcentral's name for it is "long non-coding RNA NONPTRT017628". Lineage: Eukaryota; Metazoa; Chordata; Mammalia; Primates; Hominidae. The record is from RNAcentral.